RNAcentral lists this long non-coding RNA (742 nucleotides) under Theobroma cacao (cacao). RNAcentral describes it as "long non-coding RNA (TCAC_LNC000481)". Lineage: Eukaryota; Viridiplantae; Streptophyta; Magnoliopsida; Malvales; Malvaceae. The record is from RNAcentral.
AACGCCCAGAGCUUAUACUAUAAUUGGUUUUAAAACAGGAAGGAAGAUUCGUGGAGGCAAUGUGAACGAAGGCUUAAUGCUCGGCAGACACAACUUGGGGGUUAGUGACGUGGCAGAAUGUGGGACCACAACGUUCAAAUAAAUGGCUGUCUGUUUUUGCCAGGUGUCCUUGUUAAUACUAUUCUAGCUCUAUUAUCUUUAUUUUUCUUUUCUGCUUAAUCAUGGUUUCAUCUACCUAAUUAAAAGAAACAUUUGAAACCAUUUUCCACUUUGAAUUGUGUUGUUACGAGAAGCCUAAAGGGAAGUUGCGGAGGGCAUUGAUGAUGGCAGUAGCAAAUAGCAAGGUACGAUAAUGGCAGGCUUGGCAGCCUGGCAUAGGCAAAUUUGCCUGGUAUUGUGGGAGUAUACCUAGAAAGAUUUGGGGCUGUUAAGUAUCUGUCUGUGUAAUCAAGGAAUGUAGCUGUUUUAUGUUUUCUAUGUAAUGUUUUCCUUGAACAAAUUAUGGGGAUAGUUGGCUUGGGUAAUCAGUUGCUGUGACACAAAAAAAAAAAGAAUAAUAAUAAUAUUAAAUCACUUGCCAAAUUCAUCAAUGUUGUGUCUCCCAUUAAAAAGUUUCUUGGUGUGCAUUUAGUUUCCUUUUCAAUUAUGGUGUUGAUGCUGAAUCAGGACCUAGGAGCCUCAGAACCUGAUGUGGGGAUGAACACUCAUUUUCCAGAUUUUGCACUUGAAUGCAAAUUGCAUG